CCUACGGGAGGCUGCAGUAGGGAAUUUUCGGCAAUGGGGGGAACCCUGACCGAGCAACGCCGCGUGAACGAAGAAGUUAUUCGUAAUGUAAAGUUCUUUUAACAGGGAAGAAAGAGAAAUUUGAUGGUACCUGAAGAAUAAGCUCCGGCUAACUACGUGCCAGCAGCUGCGGUAAUACGUAGGGAGCGAGGGUUAUACGGAAUUAGUGGGCGUAAAGGGUGCGUAGAUGGAAGAGUAAGUCUUUUGUAAAAAUGCUGGGCUAAACCCAGUAGGGCCAAAGAUACUGGAAAGCUAGAGUGUGAGAGAGGCAAGUGGAAUUCCAGGUGUAGCGGUAAAAUGCGUAGAUAUAUGUAGGAACACCAGUGGCGAAGGCGACUUGCUGGGUCGAUACUGACAUUGAGGCACGAAAGCGUGGGGAGCAAACAGGAUUAGAUACCCGUGUAGUC
This 446-nucleotide ribosomal RNA is filed under the name uncultured bacterium. RNAcentral describes it as "partial 16S ribosomal RNA". It matches the Rfam family "Bacterial small subunit ribosomal RNA", at positions 338 to 795 of the family's 1533-position model. The record is from RNAcentral.